AUAACUUGACAUUUUGAGCGGCCUCAAAUUUUAUUCUUAAGACAUCGACUGACUUACACAGACUAAUUGCUUCAAACACACCAAAAUACAUUGAAAGUAUAGAACAAACACCGAAAAAUUCCCGUCGACGUGUUGGGUAAUUUAUUCAUAUCAUCUCUUCAACCUUCAUUUUUAACCCAAAAAUCGCUUUGUAUAAGCUUCAACAAUUAGCUUGGGAUCAGCUUUUGUUUGCUUGUAUGCAUCAAUCUUAUUGAGCUCCUCA
This 262-nucleotide unclassified non-coding RNA is filed under the name Hevea brasiliensis (rubber tree). The record is from RNAcentral. Lineage: Eukaryota; Viridiplantae; Streptophyta; Magnoliopsida; Malpighiales; Euphorbiaceae.